Non-coding RNA from Euryarchaeota archaeon RBG_19FT_COMBO_69_17, 73 nucleotides. NCBI's taxonomy places the organism in Archaea, Methanobacteriati, Methanobacteriota. The record is from Rfam.
GCUCCGGUAGUCUAGCGGCCAAGGAUAGAAGCCUCUCGAGCUUCUGACACGGGUUCGAAUCCCGUCCGGAGCA